GUUCAUCUGGCCCUGGAGACUUGAAUACAUCUAAACUAGCCAAGUAUUCUUGUACUAUCUCCUUAGUUAUUCUGGGCUGUGUUUCCUUUGCUGAAUCAUUUGCUCCAAAUUCUUCAGGUCGGGCAUUGUUUUCUUUAUCAGAGAAGACUGAGGCAAAGAAGGCAUUGAGGAGUUCAGCCCUUUCUGUGUCCCCUGUUUGCAUUUCACCAUCUUCUCCUCUGAGUGACCCCACUGUUUCUUUGUUCUUCCUUUUGCUACGAUCAUACCCAUAAAAGCCUUUUUGUUGCUUUUAACCUCUCUAGC
Molecule: non-coding RNA, 303 nt
Organism: Podarcis lilfordi (Lilford's wall lizard)
Lineage: Eukaryota; Metazoa; Chordata; Lepidosauria; Squamata; Lacertidae
Source: the annotation of a GenBank genome assembly